GACGAACGCUGGCGGCGUGCCUAAUACAUGCAAGUCGAGCGGACGAUUCGAAAGCUUGCUUUUGAAUCGUUAGCGGCGGACGGGUGAGUAACACGUGGGCAACCUGCCCUGUAGACGGGGAUAACACCGAGAAAUCGGUGCUAAUACCGGAUAACACGAAGUGUCGCAUGACGUUUCGUUGAAAGGCGGCGCAAGCUGCCGCUACAGGAUGGGCCCGCGGCGCAUUAGCUAGUUGGUGAGGUAACGGCUCACCAAGGCGACGAUGCGUAGCCGACCUGAGAGGGGGAUCGGCCACACUGGGACUGAGACACGGCCCAGACUCCUAAGGGAGGCAGCAGUAGGGAAUCUUCCGCAAUGGACGAAAGUCUGACGGAGCAACGCCGCGUGAGCGAAGAAGGCCUUCGGGUCGUAAAGCUCUGUUGUUAGGGAAGAACAAGUAACGUAGUAACUGACGUUACUAUGACGGUACCUAACGAGAAAGCCACGGCUAACUACGUG
RNAcentral lists this ribosomal RNA (498 nucleotides) under uncultured bacterium. RNAcentral describes it as "partial 16S ribosomal RNA". It matches the Rfam family "Bacterial small subunit ribosomal RNA", at positions 28 to 507 of the family's 1533-position model. The record is from RNAcentral.